This 478-nucleotide ribosomal RNA is filed under the name uncultured bacterium. Its description in RNAcentral is "partial 16S ribosomal RNA". It matches the Rfam family "Bacterial small subunit ribosomal RNA", at positions 28 to 507 of the family's 1533-position model. The record is from RNAcentral.
GAUGAACGCUGGCGGCGUGCUUAACACAUGCCAGUCGAACGGGAAAUAUUUCAUUGAGACUUCGGUGGAUUUGAUUUAUUUCUAGUGGCGGACGGGUGAGUAACGCGUGGGUAACCUGCCUUAUACAGGGGGAUAACAGUCAGAAAUGGCUGCUAAUACCGCAUAAGCGCACAGAGCUGCAUGGCUCAGUGUGAAAAACUCCGGUGGUAUAAGAUGGACCCGCGUUGGAUUAGCUAGUUGGUGGGGUAGCGGCCCACCAAGGCGACGAUCCAUAGCCGGCCUGAGAGGGUGAACGGCCACAUUGGGACUGAGACACGGCCCAGACUCCUACGGGAGGCAGCAGUGGGGAAUAUUGCACAAUGGGGGAAACCCUGAUGCAGCGACGCCGCGUGAAGGAAGAAGUAUCUCGGUAUGUAAACUUCUAUCAGCAGGGAAGAUAGUGACGGUACCUGACUAAGAAGCCCCGGCUAACUACGUG